GGGAAAAGGAAGUUGCCGGAACACUAAAUCAUCCUUCACAUCCUGCAAACGUCCCAUCCCCUCUCUCUGGUUUGCCUGAGUUCUCUCACCUAGGUUGGGGCCAUUGGUUUACUCUGAGGGACCUUGAAACUGCAACCAACAAGUUUGCUAAGGAUAACAUCAUUGGAGAGGGUGGUUAUGGCAUUGUUUACCGUGGACAGCUGAUUAACGGAACUGAAGUCGCUGUUAAAAAGCUAUUGAAUAAUUUAGGACAAGCAGAGAAAGAAUUUCAAGUGGAAGUUGAGGCCAUCGGUCAUGUCCGACAUAAGAAUUUGGUUAGACUUUUGGGCUACUGUAUUGAAGGAACUCACAGGUUACUAGUUUAUGAGUGCGUAAACAAUGGGAAUUUAGAGCAGUGGCUACAUGGAGCUAUGCAACAGCACGGAUACCUUACAUGGGAAGCACGGAUGAAGAUUCUCCUUGGCACUGCUAAAGCUCUUGCAUAUUUACAUGAGGCAAUUGAGCCCAAGGUGGUGCAUCGUGACAUCAAGUCAAGCAACAUAUUGAUAGAUGAAGACUUCAAUGCAAAAAUUUCUGAUUUUGGCCUGGCCAAGUUGCUAGGUGCAGGGAAGAGUCACAUUACAACCAGAGUUAUGGGCACGUUCGGAUAUGUAGCUCCUGAGUAUGCAAAUAGUGGUCUACUGAAUGAAAAGAGUGAUGUGUACAGCUAUGGUGUUGUGCUUCUGGAAGCCAUCACUGGAAGAGAUCCCGUGGAUUAUGGUCGCCCUGCUCCCGAGGUGAAUCUUGUUGACUGGCUCAAGAUGAUGGUUGGCAGCAAACGCUCGGAAGAAGUAGUCGAUCCAACAAUCGAAACAAG
This 856-nucleotide unclassified non-coding RNA is filed under the name Hevea brasiliensis (rubber tree). Lineage: Eukaryota; Viridiplantae; Streptophyta; Magnoliopsida; Malpighiales; Euphorbiaceae. The record is from RNAcentral.